CCAGUGUUCAACAGCAGCCAAAGGGGGGCACCUUCACUGCUAAUUCCUGCGGCUGAAAAACUGUCACGGACGAUUUCUUUCAGAGGAGGCAGGUAGCCUGGUCUCAGGACCAUCCCAGAGACAGAUGGGACAACAGACUGAGAAGCCCAUGAAGAGAGAAAAAGAAGGUAAAGAAGGAGCUGAGGAUUCCAUGAAGAAAACUCACUGGUUGACCAGAAAGACUGGAGUCUCCUCUUCGUAGACAGUCAAAAGCCACCUGGACAUGGACCUGGGCAACCUGCUCUAGGUGUCUCUGAACAUCUAAUUGGAACAGAUGACCUACAGAAUUCCCUUCCAUUCUCAACCAUUCUAUGAUUCUGUGAGUGUUAGUUUUAUGGUAUAGAAACAAAAGACUCAGCCGUUUGAAAGAUAACCAGUUGGAUGUAAAUAAUUUUCCAUCUCUGAAGAGCAAGAUUUGACAAACUUGGUUAAAAGGUUAAAAUAAAAAUGAUUUUACAGGAAAAUCAAAAACCUCUACUACAAUGGAUGUAAGAUCGAUCUAUUUUUUGUUGUGCUGAAGAGUAGCACAAAGAAAAAAUAAAUCUAUUUCCUAUUAUUUGCUUCCCAUAUGAUAUAUGUAAUAAAGACUUUAGAAAUUAAAUCAUGUUUUGAAUAUGCAAAAACUUCCUGAAUUUAGUUUUAUGAAUAAUGCUUCAGUUUUUUCAGAAAUGUGCUUCAAGCUCAGACCAUUUUAAUAAUACCCUCCAA
Molecule: long non-coding RNA, 747 nt
Organism: Numida meleagris (helmeted guineafowl)
Lineage: Eukaryota; Metazoa; Chordata; Aves; Galliformes; Numididae
Exons: 3
Source: RefSeq, a predicted model, not a curated record